GGUGCUAGUAGCUCAGUGGUAGAGCAUCUGCUUUGCAUUAAGAAGGUCCCAAGUUCAAUCCCUGGCAUUUCCA
Non-coding RNA from Podarcis lilfordi (Lilford's wall lizard), 73 nucleotides. NCBI's taxonomy places the organism in Eukaryota, Metazoa, Chordata, Lepidosauria, Squamata, Lacertidae. The record is from the annotation of a GenBank genome assembly.